This 253-nucleotide ribosomal RNA is filed under the name uncultured bacterium. RNAcentral describes it as "partial 16S ribosomal RNA". It matches the Rfam family "Bacterial small subunit ribosomal RNA", at positions 524 to 776 of the family's 1533-position model. The record is from RNAcentral.
UACGUAGGGUGCGAGCGUUGUCCGGAAUUAUUGGGCGUAAAGGGCUCGUAGGCGGUCUGUUGCGUCAGGAGUGAAAACUCGGGGCUUAACACCGAGCCUGCUUCUGAUACGGGCAGACUAGAGGUAUGCAGAGGAGAACGGAAUUCCUGGUGUAGCGGUGAAAUGCGCAGAUAUCAGGAGGAACACCGGUGGCGAAGGCGAGUCCCUGGACAACUCCUGACACUGAGGCUCGAAAGCUAGGGGAGCAAACAGG